UGCAAGUCGAACGAUGAAGCUCUCUGCUUGCAGAGAGUGGAUUAGUGGCGAACGGGUGAGUAACACGUGGGUAACCUGCCCAUAAGAGGGGGAUAACAUUCGGAAACGGAUGCUAAUACCGCAUAUGUCUUUGAGACGCCUGUCUCUUAGACGAAAGGUGGCUUCGGCUGCCGCUUAUGGAUGGACCCGCGGCGUAUUAGCUAGUUGGUGAGGUAAUGGCUCACCAAGGCAUUGAUACGUAGCCGACCUGAGAGGGUGAUCGGCCACACUGGGACUGAGACACGGCCCAGACUCCUACGGGAGGCAGCAGUAGGGAAUCUUCCACAAUGGGUGAAAACCUGAUGGAGCAAUACCGCGUGAGUGAAGAAGGUCUUCGGAUCGUAAAGCUCUGUUGUUAGAGAAGAACAAGUCGGGUAGUAACUGCCCCGACCUUGACGGUAUCUAACCAGAAAGUCACGGCUAACUACGUGCCAGCAGCCGCGGUAAUACGUAGGUGACAAGCGUUGUCCGGAUUUAUUGGGCGUAAAGCGAGCGCAGGCGGUCUUUUAAGUCUGAUGUGAAAGCCCACGGCUCAACCGUGGAGGGUCAUUGGAAACUGGAAGACUUGAAUGCAGAAGAGGAAAGUGGAAUUCCAUGUGUAGCGGUGAAAUGCGUAGAUAUAUGGAGGAACACCAGUGGCGAAGGCGACUUUCUGGUCUGUAAUUGACGCUGAGGCUCGAAAGCGUGGGGAGCGAACAGGAUUAGAUACCCUGGUAGUCCACGCCGUAAACGAUGAGUGCUAAGUGUUGGAGGGUUUCCGCCCUUCAGUGCUGGAGCUAACGCAUUAAGCACUCCGCCUGGGGAGUACGGCCGCAAGGCUGAAACUCAAAGGAAUUGACGGGGACCCGCACAAGCGGUGGAGCAUGUGGUUUAAUUCCAAGCAACGCGAAGAACCUUACCAGGUCUUGACAUCCUCUGAACACUCUA
RNAcentral lists this ribosomal RNA (966 nucleotides) under Marinilactibacillus sp. CPA-107. RNAcentral describes it as "bacterial SSU rRNA". It matches the Rfam family "Bacterial small subunit ribosomal RNA", at positions 56 to 1002 of the family's 1533-position model. The record is from RNAcentral. Lineage: Bacteria; Bacillati; Bacillota; Bacilli; Lactobacillales; Carnobacteriaceae.